AGUCGAGCGGCGCGCAAGGGAGUUUACUCCUGAGGUGGCGAGCGGCGGACGGGUGAGUAAUGCCUAGGGAUCUGCCCAGUCGAGGGGGAUAACAGUUGGAAACGACUGCUAAUACCGCAUACGCCCUACGGGGGAAAGGAGGGGACCUUCGGGCCUUCCGCGAUUGGAUGAACCUAGGUGGGAUUAGCUAGUUGGUGAGGUAAUGGCUCACCAAGGCGACGAUCCCUAGCUGUUCUGAGAGGAUGAUCAGCCACACUGGGACUGAGACACGGCCCAGACUCCUACGGGAGGCAGCAGUGGGGAAUAUUGCACAAUGGGGGAAACCCUGAUGCAGCCAUGCCGCGUGUGUGAAGAAGGCCUUCGGGUUGUAAAGCACUUUCAGUAGGGAGGAAAGGGUGUAGUUUAAUACGCUAUAUCUGUGACGUUACCUACAGAAGAAGGACCGCCUCACUCCGUGCCAGCAGCCGCGGUAAUACGGAGGGUCCGAGCGUUAAUCGGAAUUACUGGGCGUAAAGCGUGCGCAGGCGGUUUGUUAAGCGAGAUGUGAAAGCCCUGGGCUCAACCUAGGAAUAGCA
Molecule: ribosomal RNA, 575 nt
Filed under: Shewanella sp. 03
Lineage: Bacteria; Pseudomonadati; Pseudomonadota; Gammaproteobacteria; Alteromonadales; Shewanellaceae
Description: bacterial SSU rRNA
Rfam family: Bacterial small subunit ribosomal RNA
Source: RNAcentral